RNAcentral lists this ribosomal RNA (914 nucleotides) under uncultured marine archaeon. Its description in RNAcentral is "bacterial SSU rRNA". It matches the Rfam family "Archaeal small subunit ribosomal RNA", at positions 1 to 922 of the family's 1478-position model. The record is from RNAcentral.
UUCCGGUUGAUCCUGCCGGACCUGACUGCUAUCGGAUUGAUACUAAGCCAUGCGAGUCUUUGCAGUAAUGCAAGGCAUACGGCUCAGUAACACGUAGUCAACUUACCCUAUGGACGAGGAUAAUCUCGGGAAACUGAGCAUAAUACUCGAUAGAUCAUAAUGCCUGGAAUGGUUUAUGGUUAAAAUGAUUCGUCGCCAUAGGAUGGGACUGCGGCCUAUCAGCUUGUUGGUGAGGUAAUGGCCCACCAAGGCGAUUACAGGUACGGGCUCUGAGAGGAGAAGCCCGGAGAUGGGUACUGAGACAAGGACCCAGGCCCUAUGGGGCGCAGCAGGCGAGAAAACUUUGCAAUGUGCGAAAGCACGACAAGGUUAAUCCGAGUGAUUUCUGCUAAAGAAAUCUUUUGCAAGUCAUAAAACCACUAGUGAAUAAGGGGUGGGCAAGUUCUGGUGUCAGCCGCCGCGGUAAAACCAGCACCUCAAGUGGUCAGGAGGAUUAUUGGGCCUAAAGCAUCCGUAGCCUGCUCUGUAAGUUUUCGGUUAAAUCCAUGUGCUCAACACAUGGGCUGCCGAAAAUACUGCAUAGCUAGGGAGUGGGAGAGGUAGACGGUACUCAGUAGGAAGGGGUAAAAUCCUUUGAUCUAUUGAUGACCACCUGUGGCGAAGGCGGUCUACCAGAACACGUUCGACGGUGAGGGAUGAAAGCUGGGGGAGCAAACCGGAUUAGAUACCCGGGUAGUCCCAGCUGUAAACGAUGCAGACUCGAUGAUGCAUUGGCAUAUAGCCAGUGCAGUGUCGCAGGGAAGCCGUUAAGUCUGCCGCCUGGGAAGUACGUACGCAAGUAUGAAACUUAAAGGAAUUGGCGGGGGAGCACCACAAGGGGUGAAGCCUGCGGUUCAAUUGGAUUCAACGCCGGG